RNAcentral lists this ribosomal RNA (495 nucleotides) under uncultured bacterium. RNAcentral's name for it is "partial 16S ribosomal RNA". It matches the Rfam family "Bacterial small subunit ribosomal RNA", at positions 28 to 507 of the family's 1533-position model. The record is from RNAcentral.
GACGAACGCUGGCGGCGUGCCUAAUACAUGCAAGUAGAACGCUGAAGGAGGAGCUUGCUUCUCCGGAUGAGUUGCGAACGGGUGAGUAACGCGUAGGUAACCUGCCUGGUAGCGGGGGAUAACUAUUGGAAACGAUAGCUAAUACCGCAUAACAGUAGAUGUUGCAUGACAUUUGCUUAAAAGGUGCAAUUGCAUCACUACCAGAUGGACCUGCGUUGUAUUAGCUAGUUGGUGAGGUAACGGCUCACCAAGGCGACGAUACAUAGCCGACCUGAGAGGGUGAUCGGCCACACUGAGACUGAGACACGGCCCAGACUCCUACGGAAGGCAGCAGUAGGGAAUCUUGGGCAAUGGACGGAAGUCUGACCGAGCAACGCCGCGUGAGUGAAGAAGGUUGUCGGAUCGUAAAGCUCGGUUGUAAGAGAAGAACGAGUGUGAGAGUGGAAAGUGCACACUGUGACGGUAUCUUACGAGAAAGGGACGGCUAACUACGUG